Molecule: long non-coding RNA, 1067 nt
Filed under: Populus trichocarpa (black cottonwood)
Lineage: Eukaryota; Viridiplantae; Streptophyta; Magnoliopsida; Malpighiales; Salicaceae
Description: long non-coding RNA (PTRI_LNC004672)
Source: RNAcentral
UAGACAAUGCUUGGUAAUUCUUCUAGAAUCAGCCACUCCAGAUCAGGGAGCACCAUCUCCUUCUCAACAUUGGCAGGUGAAGCAUGAUCAUCCUGCCCAAAUACUCCCAAUAAUUGAGAGGAUUCCUUUACUUUAAGUUGUUGGAGCUUUUUGAGACCUGAAGCCAUGGCUAUCGGGAAGAGACUCUUCAACUUGUUGCAUCCUGUGAUCUCAAGUCGACACAAAUUAGGGAAGCAUGAAGAUUGGAGAUCACUUCCUGAAAAUAUGUGAUUCUUUUCAUCAUCAUUAUCCUUAGCAAUGAUUUGCUCCAAUUCCUCACAGUCUGAUAUCUCUAGAAAUUCCAGUUGAAGUAGACUAGCAAUCAUGCUGUUUGUGAAUACAUGUGUCAGUCUCUUACACUCGUUCACCUUCAAAGUAGUCAAAUUUCUCGGCACGAGACCCUUCCAAAUACACCUCAGGUUUGGCAAUAAGUUCAAGUGUAAUGUUUCCAAACUCACGAUUGAAAGUUCAUGCCCACCUCUUCUAUUAGUUAUCAAACAUCCAACUUGCAUUAAAUCUUGUUCUCCUUCCAAGUUUUCAAUAGAUAUUUCUUUCAAAUUCAUAAACCCCUACAUCAAAAGAAAAUAAGGGUACCGAUUUGUUAGAUGUAAUUCAUAGUAAUUAUUGCGCACUUUUAAAACUAAAUGAGAGGCAAGAAAUCAAGUCAAAUCAGCAGCACCUCUGAUUGAGCACUCAUUGAGUCAUUUGAUGUAGUAGCAGAUUCUGUGGUCAGCUUUGGGCAUCCAUCCACCUUCAACUUCUUCAAAUGAGGGAAUAAGAAAUCAUAACAUCCGAGACUAAAAGAGGAAAUACUUGGUAAUUGUACAAGCAACAACUCCUGCAGAUCAGGGAGCACCAUCUCCUUCUCAAGAUUGGCAGGUGAAGCAUGAUCAUCCUGCCCAAAUACUCCCAAUAAUUGAGAGGAUUCCCUUACUUCAAGUUGUUGGAGCUUUUUGAGACCUGAAGCCAUGGCUAUCGGGAAGAGACUCUUCAACUUGUUGCAUCCUGUGAUCUCAAGUCGACACAAA